ACUGGCGGCGUGCCUAAUACAUGCAAGUCGAACGUCACUCUCGUUUAGAUUGAAGGAGCUUGCUCCUGAUUGAUAACAUUUGAGUGAGUGGCGGACGGGUGAGUAACACGUGGGUAACCUGCCCUAAAGUGGGGGAUAACAUUUGGAAACAGAUGCUAAUACCGCAUAAAACCUAACACCGCAUGGUGUAGGGUUGAAAGAUGGUUUCGGCUAUCACUUUAGGAUGGACCCGCGGUGCAUUAGUUAGUUGGUGAGGUAAAGGCUCACCAAGACCGUGAUGCAUAGCCGACCUGAGAGGGUAAUCGGCCACACUGGGACUGAGACACGGCCCAGACUCCUACGGGAGGCAGCAGUAGGGAAUCUUCCACAAUGGACGAAAGUCUGAUGGAGCAACGCCGCGUGAGUGAAGAAGGUUUUCGGAUCGUAAAACUCUGUUGUUGGAGAAGAAUGUAUCUGAUAGUAACUGAUCAGGUAGUGACGGUAUCCAACCAGAAAGCCACGGCUAACUACGUG
This 513-nucleotide ribosomal RNA is filed under the name uncultured bacterium. Its description in RNAcentral is "bacterial SSU rRNA". It matches the Rfam family "Bacterial small subunit ribosomal RNA", at positions 36 to 507 of the family's 1533-position model. The record is from RNAcentral.